Molecule: long non-coding RNA, 276 nt
Filed under: Setaria viridis
Lineage: Eukaryota; Viridiplantae; Streptophyta; Magnoliopsida; Poales; Poaceae
Description: long non-coding RNA (SVIR_LNC008169)
Source: RNAcentral
CAGGGGAUUGAGCAAAGAAGGGCGGAGAGACGGGAGGAAAAGGGAGGAGCGAGGAAGGAAAAUAAAACUCUAACUUGUGGGCUCCAUGUGCUAGGGAUGUAUUGGAGAUUGAUUUUUGGUAGCAUGCUGCAGCGGUGAUCGCUAAAAAUGCAAAAGUAAUUAUUGGAGAGGGAGAGAGAAACUAUUUUUAGUAGUGGGAUAUAAGCAAUCUGCUGGAGAUGCUCUAAGAUGUCGAUUGGGUGUGACAUCUACUUUGAUAGGCAUUAGCUGGGCGUG